ACCAGACUCCUACGGGAGGCAGCAGUGGGGGAUAUUGCACAAUGGGGGAAACCCUGAUGCAGCGACGCCGCGUGUGGGAAGACGGUCUUCUGGAUUGUAAACCACUGUCCCCAGGGACGAAAAUGACGGUACCUGGGGAGGAAGCUCCGGCUAACUACGUGCCAGCAGCCGCGGUAAUACGUAGGGAGCAAGCGUUGUCCGGAAUUACUGGGUGUAAAGGGAGCGUAGGCGGAAUGCCAAGUCAGCGGUAAAAUCGCGGGGCUCAACCUCGCUCCGCCGUUGAAACUGGCGUUCUUGAGUGGGCGAGAAGUAUGCGGAAUGCGUGGUGUAGCGGUGAAAUGCAUAGAUAUCACGCAGAGCUCCGAUUGCGAAGGCAGCAUACCGGCGCCCAACUGACGCUGAAGCACGAAAGCGUGGGUAUCGAACAGGAUUAGAUACCCGCGUAC
RNAcentral lists this ribosomal RNA (446 nucleotides) under uncultured bacterium. RNAcentral's name for it is "bacterial SSU rRNA". It matches the Rfam family "Bacterial small subunit ribosomal RNA", at positions 330 to 793 of the family's 1533-position model. The record is from RNAcentral.